Colossoma macropomum (tambaqui) is the source of this 776-nucleotide long non-coding RNA. RefSeq lists it as uncharacterized. The record is from RefSeq and is a predicted model, not a curated record. Lineage: Eukaryota; Metazoa; Chordata; Actinopteri; Characiformes; Serrasalmidae. The transcript is spliced from 4 exons.
GUCUCAAUUCUGAACUUUCUUCACAGUCUACAGAACAGUUUGAAAAACUCUAAGCAGGACGAGCGAGAGUGCUUAUUCUCCUUCGGCAGAGUUCAGCAGUCGUUCGGCUAAGUCUGCGCUGGUGCUGCGUUCAGAGAGCAGGGGGUUACCCCCAGGGCUGCUCCGCUCCAUGGACCGGCCGAGCAGGUCUAGACCACUGAGUGACCCCCCGCAUCGGCCCCUUUGAGGGAAAGGCAAGUUCGGUCAGCAGGAAGAAAGUGAGGCGUGGCCCCUUUUCAGUGAGGGAGCGACCCGCGGCCGUCCAGAGGUAAAAAUGAAGGUUUGAAGAUGACAACUUAAAAGAAAAUGAGGACACUUGGCCUCAAGUUUCCAGGUAAUGGGAGGCUGUUCCACGAGGCCCCCAGCAACAGCGGAGUGAUAGCCAUCCACCAUGAAUACAAAACAGGCAGGCAGGGCACGAUGAGGCUGGAAGUGCUCAGCUCAGCAGGGCAUGCAUGCUUACUGAGUGCCAGCCACCGUCUGUCUGCCUCUGCACUGACCCAGCUGAACGCACUGGCAGAGAGAGAACUUGCACAACCAAACAGCCUUCAUGCUCUCCGGUUCCAACAUAAUUGUGUCGUUGUUAGCUGCAUGGUUCUGUCACUGUGCAGCCUGGCAAACACUGAAAAUUGUAUAAAGUAGUACUUCCCCACCUUCAUACUUAAAUAACCCUGUCCCAUACUGCUUAAUGUUUUCUCUGCUCUGACUUCCUGAAUUAAACUGAGGGUGGGUUUGUU